Molecule: ribosomal RNA, 421 nt
Filed under: uncultured bacterium
Lineage: Bacteria
Description: partial 16S ribosomal RNA
Rfam family: Bacterial small subunit ribosomal RNA
Source: RNAcentral
AAUAUUGGACAAUGGGGGCAACCCUGAUCCCGCCAUGCCGCGUGUGUGAAGAAGGUCUUCGGAUUGUAAAGCACUUUAAGUUGGGAGGAAGGGCUUUAGGCUAAUACCCUGAAGUUUUGACGUUACCAACAGAAUAAGCACCUGCUACCUCUGUGCCAGCAGCCGCGGUAAUACCGAGGGUGCAAGCGUUACGCGGAAUUAUCGGGCGUAAAGCGCGCGUAGGUGGUUCAGUAAGAUGGGUGUGAAAGCCCCGGGCUUAACCUGGGAACUGCUUUCAUAACUGCUGAGCUAGAGUACGGUAGAGGGUAGUGGAAUUUCCUGUGUAGCGGUGAAAUGCGUAGAUAUAGGAAGGAACACCAGUGGCGAAGGCGACUACCUGGACUGAUACUGACACUGAGGUGCGAAAGCGUGGGGAGCAAAC